UGGGGAAUAUUGCACAAUGGGCGAAAGCCUGAUGCAGCAACGCCGCGUGAGGGAAGACGGUCUUCGGAUUGUAAACCUCUGUCCUUGGUGAAGAAACAUGACGGUAGCCAUGGAGGAAGCCACGGCUAACUACGUGCCAGCAGCCGCGGUAAUACGUAGGUGGCAAGCGUUGUCCGGAUUUACUGGGUGUAAAGGGAGCGCAGGCGGGAAGGCAAGUCAGCUGUGAAAACUAUGGGCUUAACCCAUAGACUGCAGUUGAAACUGUUUUUCUUGAGUGGAGUAGAGGUAAGCGGAAUUCCGAGUGUAGCGGUGAAAUGCGUAGAGAUUCGGAGGAACACCAGUGGCGAAGGCGGCUUACUGGGCUCUAACUGACGCUGAGGCUCGAAAGUGUGGGGAGCAAACAGGAUUAGAUACCCUGGUAGU
Molecule: ribosomal RNA, 423 nt
Filed under: uncultured Eubacterium sp.
Lineage: Bacteria; Bacillati; Bacillota; Clostridia; Eubacteriales; Eubacteriaceae
Description: bacterial SSU rRNA
Rfam family: Bacterial small subunit ribosomal RNA
Source: RNAcentral